Molecule: ribosomal RNA, 253 nt
Filed under: uncultured bacterium
Lineage: Bacteria
Description: partial 16S ribosomal RNA
Rfam family: Bacterial small subunit ribosomal RNA
Source: RNAcentral
UACGGAGGGAGCUAGCGUUUUUCGGAAUUACUGGGCGUAAAGCGCACGUAGGCGGCCGGUCAAGUUAGAGGUGAAAGCCCAGGGCUCAACCCUGGAAUAGCCUCUAAUACUAGAUGGCUUGAAUCUGGGAGAGGUCAGUGGAAUUCCUAGUGUAGAGGUGAAAUUCGUAGAUAUUCGGAAGAACACCAGUGGCGAAGGCGGCUCACUGGCCAGGUACUGACGCUGAGGUGCGAAAGCGUGGGGAGCAAACAGG